GACGAACGCUGGCGGCGUGCUUAACACAUGCAAGUCGAACGGAAAGGCCCUGCUUUUGUGGGGUGCUCGAGUGGCGAACGGGUGAGUAACACGUGAGUAACCUGCCCUUUACUUUGGGAUAACUUCAGGAAACUGGUGCUAAUACCUGAUAGGAGCUCCUGCUGCUUGGUGGGCGUUGGACAGUUUCGGCGGUUGGGGAUGGACUCGCGGCUUAUCAGCUUGUUGGUGGGGUAGUGGCUUACCAAGGCUUUGACGGGUAGCCGGCCUGAGAGGGUGACCGGCCACAUUGGGACUGAGAUACGGCCCAGACUCCUACGGGAGGCAGCAGUGGGGAAUAUUGCACAAUGGGCGGAAGCCUGAUGCAGCAACGCCGCGUGCGGGAUGACGGCCUUCGGGGUGUAAACCGCUUUCGCCUGUGACGAAGCGUGAGUGACGGUAAUGGGUAAAGAAGCACCGGCUAACUACGUG
Molecule: ribosomal RNA, 468 nt
Filed under: uncultured bacterium
Lineage: Bacteria
Description: partial 16S ribosomal RNA
Rfam family: Bacterial small subunit ribosomal RNA
Source: RNAcentral